Molecule: long non-coding RNA, 501 nt
Organism: Olea europaea var. sylvestris
Lineage: Eukaryota; Viridiplantae; Streptophyta; Magnoliopsida; Lamiales; Oleaceae
Exons: 2
Source: RefSeq, a predicted model, not a curated record
AUAUAUUUUUGGCAUUUGGAGAGUCAAUCAUGGAUGGCUAACUACUAUGAAGUCUUUGUUAUGAAGCUUCAAUCAUCUGGAUGGAAAACGGAACGCCUUAUGUUACCUGCAGUCGUUUGGAAGGCAAAUUGGUCAUCCAGAUCUUCAGACCAAAAGCUAGACUAGGGAAUUUCUGUGAACUGAAUUUGAGUGAGCUAUUAUUGAGUUAUCAUCAUCUCUCAGGACAAUUGGGUUGUUUUACACCAUUUUCCUUAUGAUUGGAAUGUAAGAUAUCUGGUGAAGUUGAAUUGAUUUGUAAUAAGGUUGAUUGUGCAAUUUACCUAGGAUUUGAGUUGAUUAUUAAUCCACCACCAGCCCAAUAAGAUGUCUGAAUAGAUGUCUUUAAUAAUUGGUUCUUAGGUUUUCAGAUGCCCCGAUUUCUUUCCAUUGCCAAAAGUAUAGAGAAUCUAGAAAUAGCAUACUACCACUAGACAUACAUAGCUAGUAAAAUCUACUUAAAAA